Microplitis demolitor is the source of this 1139-nucleotide long non-coding RNA. RefSeq lists it as uncharacterized. The record is from RefSeq and is a predicted model, not a curated record. The transcript is spliced from 4 exons. Lineage: Eukaryota; Metazoa; Arthropoda; Insecta; Hymenoptera; Braconidae.
UGUUAAGGUAUAUUGUAACUCUUUUCUGUUUUUCAUUUGAAAACAAAACGAUUUGAUGGUCAAAUUUGAUUAAAUAAAUAAUAAAUAUGUUGAGAAGACAUUGUUAAUGAUGUGUUAAUAAAAAAACAAAUUUUCUCUAAGCGUUAAUGUGGAAAAUUUAGUUUUAAAAUUGAUAAAUAAUGUGAAGUUUUUCAGAUGUCAUGAUGAUGAACAAUAUCAUUUUGUUAAUUAAAAUAUAGCUGCUAUAAUAAAAACAGUGAAAUGACUUUCUUGGCUAAUUUAAACUAACAAAAACAUGUUUAAGGUUAAUGCGAUUAAUUAUGCAAAUUAUAUAUCCUCUAUUUCUAUGCAAAAAUUUAUAUUUAAAAAAUGACAAUACAAGUGAAUGUGGAUGUAGCUAAUGAUACGGAAUUUAUUUAUUUUGAGAUGAAUGAAUAAAAUCUUGAUGUACCCCCAAUAACCCUGUAAAUUUUUCAAUUGAUGUAUCGAACCGUUUUUUUCGGGGUGAUUAAUUAAAGUUUUGCAAAAGAAUUGAAGGAACGAGUUUUGUUUCUUAAAAAAAAUAAUCAUCAUCAAAAUAAAAAAAUGAUUUGUUUUGGACUUUUCUUAAAUUUUUACGUCGGUUACUCAGUAAAUGUGAAGAAAAGAGAAAAAAAAAUCUGUGUACCGGUAAACCCUGUAGACCAGCCCCAAAACUUCCCACUGUUUUUGAGCUCCUUGAGCUCGAAAACAUAAUUACUUGAAAAUUUUUCGGCUCUUCGAACUCAAAAAACUAUUAGACCGUCAAAAACAUGCAUUUCUCGAGUGGCUCUGAUGAAAACUUUAGAUUUGAAAGAAAAAAAUUUUCUGAAUAAAAAUACACUUAUUCAUCUUGAAAAAAAAAAAAAAAGAAAAAAAUCGAUGAACCGUUAACCGUACAAACCAACUUAAAAAUUUCAUACGGUUUUGGAGCUCGAAAAGAUGUUUUUGAAUACAUAUUAAAAAAAAAAAAAAAAAAAAAAAUUUCAAUACCCGUUUUAAAUUAAACAGUACACUUGGUGUUGAACUCGUUUAAGAAGUAAAGAAAAAAUAUCUUUGAAUAAUUAAAGAAACAAAAAUUAAAAUUAAAAGAAUUAAAAAUAUUAUUAGCUUAAAUUAUU